CGCUGGCGGCGUGCCUAACACAUGUAAGUCGAACGGGACUCGGGGGGCAACUCUCGAGUUCAGUGGCAGACGGGUGCGUAACACGUGAGAAACCUGCCCAUCGGUGGGGAAUAGCCGGCCCAACGGCCGGUUAAUACCGCAUACGAUCAUUCAGGGGCAUCCCUGAAUGAGGAAAGCAGCCGCAAGGUUGCGCCGGCGGAGGGUCUCGCGACCUAUCAGCUAGUUGGCGGGGUAACGGCCCACCAAGGCAACGACGGGUAGCUGGUCUGAGAGGAUGGCCAGCCACAUUGGGACUGAGACACGGCCCAGACUCCUACGGGAGGCAGCAGUGGGGAAUCUUGCGCAAUGGCCGCAAGGCUGACGCAGCGACGCCGCGUGUGGGAUGACGGCCUUCGGGUUGUAAACCACUGUCGGGAGGAACGAAUACUCGGCUACGAAUAGCAGACCGAGGGUGACGGUACCUCCAAAGGAAGCACCGGCUAACUCCGUGCCAGCAGCCGCGGUAAUACGGAGGGUGCGAGCGUUGUCCGGAAUCACUGGGCGUAAAGGGCGCGUAGGU
Molecule: ribosomal RNA, 559 nt
Filed under: uncultured soil bacterium
Lineage: Bacteria
Description: bacterial SSU rRNA
Rfam family: Bacterial small subunit ribosomal RNA
Source: RNAcentral